RNAcentral lists this long non-coding RNA (270 nucleotides) under Mytilus galloprovincialis (Mediterranean mussel). The record is from RNAcentral. Lineage: Eukaryota; Metazoa; Mollusca; Bivalvia; Mytilida; Mytilidae.
CGCCUUGAUUAAUUAUACUGAUUACUAAUCACUUAUCAGUGCACAAAACAGAUAUACAAAAAAUAAAAUGCUUCGCUGAGCGCAACCUGAUACGACCGCUGAGUUUGAACUAUGAACAGUUGGGGCAAAUUUGGACACAAUCAAGCUUGAUACUGUCUGAACAAAUAUUUUUUUUACAAAAUAUAGGUUUCUGACACAAAACAAAUGCCAAGAUCUUACAAAUGUAUUGUGCAAUACUGUGCAAUUAAAGAUUCCUUCCUGAAACUUUUC